GUGUUUGCAGUCAGAGAGUCAAAGGCAAGUGAAGGUGGAAGGAGAGACCGAGUGGCGGAGCGCGGGUAGGAAAGCUGCUGCAGACCCAAGGCAGACGAAGCGACGCACGGACAGAGGGUGCCAUGACAGAACUCCAGGAAGUGCAGAUCACUGAGGAAAAGCCACUACUGCGAGCACCAGGAGCACCUGAUCCGGGCAAGGAUGCUGAACUGGUAACAGCCAAACUUCUACAGGAAUAUGGCCAGGUAAUACUACCAUGCCAUCCU
Molecule: non-coding RNA, 266 nt
Organism: Thamnophis sirtalis
Lineage: Eukaryota; Metazoa; Chordata; Lepidosauria; Squamata; Natricidae
Source: RefSeq, a predicted model, not a curated record